UACGUAGGGUGCGAGCGUUAAUCGGAAUUACUGGGCGUAAAGGGUGCGCAGGCGGUCCCGCAAGUCAGGCGUGAAAUCCCCGGGCUUAACCUGGGAAUGGCACUUGAAACUACGGGACUAGAGUGUGGCAGAGGGAGGUGGAAUUCCACGUGUAGCGGUGAAAUGCGUAGAUAUGUGGAGGAACACCAAUGGCGAAGGCAGCCUCCUGGGUCAACACUGACGCUCAUGCACGAAAGCGUGGGGAGCAAAC
Molecule: ribosomal RNA, 250 nt
Filed under: uncultured bacterium
Lineage: Bacteria
Description: partial 16S ribosomal RNA
Rfam family: Bacterial small subunit ribosomal RNA
Source: RNAcentral